This is a long non-coding RNA of Oncorhynchus tshawytscha (Chinook salmon), 1162 nucleotides long. NCBI's taxonomy places the organism in Eukaryota, Metazoa, Chordata, Actinopteri, Salmoniformes, Salmonidae. The record is from Ensembl.
UCACAAAUGACAUGAUUUCAUGUUUUUUAUUAAUACUCAACACUUUGUUUUGUACAAAGAGACAGAAGAAGAAUAUUUCUUAGCACUUAUUUUCACAUCGACUGUGUUUAAUUAUCCUCUUUUUAAAUAUUAUUAAAUAUUUAAUCAAAUUUUUUAUUAUUCUUUAACACAUGUCAUUUCUUCCCAUACAAAAAUUAAAGAGUGACUGAAAUGUUUAGUCAUAUAUACAUUUUCACAAUCUGUACAGUUCUAGAAAUGGUUGUGUUAUAAUUUUCUCUUGGAAACACGUGAAAUAAAGGGUUGCCAAAGAAGACAAAUUAUAACUUGUAAAAAUGUAGUAGAGAGUCAUGAUGUUGUGCUUAUGUAAUAGCCACUCAUGUCAUUACCAUUAGUUGUGUAACAAAAACAAGUGUGUAUGCCGGUCUUUUACCAAAUUAAAGUGAAAGGAAAUUCAUCAACUUGCUGUAAAAAUAGUACUACUUUAGGUGUGCAUCUUUGAUUUGAAGGUUUGUACUUUCAGCCAUCUUGUACACUUUUAUUAAAAGUCUGCUAGAGGGAGGUAAGUUAUUUACAUACAGCACUACAAUACAGAACAUCAGUCAACAGUUCUCUCUUUAGCGCUUUCUUUUCCACACACACACACACACACACACACACACACACACACACACACACACACACACACACACACACACACACACACACACACACACACACACACACACACACACACACACACACACACACACACACACACACACACACACGUAAUCAAGCGCAUGUACUGAGGCACAUACAACAACAGAAAGAAAGAAAGAAAGAGAGAAAGAAAGAAAGAGAGAAAGAAAGAAAGAGAGAGAGAGAGAAAGAGGAAAGCAACUUACUGAAGAAAGAGAGGUUGUAGGGAAAAAACAAGCAAAAACAUUGAAAAUCAAAGCUGGUUCAUCACUUCAUAAAAACGUUAUACCAAUACCUUCACCUCAUUCCCAGUCAUUUAAUAACACCAAUACCUUCACCUCAUUCACAGGCAUUUAAUAACACCAAUACCUUCACCUCAUUCCCAGGCAUUUAAUAACACCAAUACCUUCACCUCAUUCACAGGCAUUUAAUAACACCAAUACCUUCACCUCAUUCACAGGCAUUUAAUAACACCAAUACAUUC